RNAcentral lists this ribosomal RNA (440 nucleotides) under uncultured bacterium. Its description in RNAcentral is "partial 16S ribosomal RNA". It matches the Rfam family "Bacterial small subunit ribosomal RNA", at positions 338 to 795 of the family's 1533-position model. The record is from RNAcentral.
CCUACGGGUGACAGCAGUGGGGAAUAUUGCACAAUGGGGGGAACCCUGAUGCAGCGACGCCGCGUGAGUGAAGAAGUAUUUCGGUAUGUAAAGCUCUAUCAGCAGGGAAGAAAGUGACGGUCCCUGAAAAAGAAGCUCCGGCUAAAUACGUGCCAGCAGCCGCGGUAAUACGUAUGGAGCCAGCGUUAUCCGGAUUUACUGGGUGUAAAGGGAGAGUAGGUGGCAGAGCAAGUCCGAAGUGAAAACCCAAAGCUCAACUAUGGGAAUGCUUUAGAAACUGCUCAGCUAGAGUGCAGGAGAGGCAAGUGGAAUUCUUAGUGUAGCGGUGAAAUGCUUAGAUAUCACGAAGAACUCCGAUUGCGAAGGCAGCUUACUAAACUGCCACUGACAUUGAUGCUCGAAAGUGUGGGUAUCAAACAGGAUUAGAUACCCCGGUAGUC